GAUUUCCUGGCUCAGGAUGAACGCUAGCUACAGGCUUAACACAUGCAAGUCGAGGGGCAGCAUGGUCUUAGCUUGCUAAGGCCGAUGGCGACCGGCGCACGGGUGAGUAACACGUAUCCAACCUGCCGUCUACUCUUGGACAGCCUUCUGAAAGGAAGAUUAAUACAAGAUGGCAUCAUGAGUCCGCAUGUUCACAUGAUUAAAGGUAUUCCGGUAGACGAUGGGGA
This 227-nucleotide ribosomal RNA is filed under the name uncultured bacterium. RNAcentral's name for it is "partial 16S ribosomal RNA". It matches the Rfam family "Bacterial small subunit ribosomal RNA", at positions 15 to 231 of the family's 1533-position model. The record is from RNAcentral.